Molecule: unclassified non-coding RNA, 353 nt
Filed under: soil metagenome
Description: partial contains 5.8S ribosomal RNA, internal transcribed spacer 2, and large subunit ribosomal RNA
Rfam family: 5.8S ribosomal RNA (bases 1-120)
Source: RNAcentral
GAUGAAGAACGUAGCGAAAUGCGAUACGUAGUGUGAAUUGCAGAAUUCAGUGAAUCAUCGAAUCUUUGAACGCACAUUGCGCCCUUUGGUAUUCCAAAGGGCAUGCCUGUUCGAGCGUCAUUACAACCCUCAGGCCCCCGGGCCUGGCGUUGGGGAUCGGCGGAAGCCCCCUGCGGGCACAACGCCGUCCCCCAAAUACAGUGGCGGUCCCGCCGCAGCUUCCAUUGCGUAGUAGCUAACACCUCGCAACUGGAGAGCGGCGCGGCCACGCCGUAAAACACCCAACUUCUGAAUGUUGACCUCGAAUCAGGUAGGAAUACCCGCUGAACUUAAGCAUAUCAAUAAGCGGAGGA